Molecule: long non-coding RNA, 616 nt
Filed under: Marmota monax (woodchuck)
Lineage: Eukaryota; Metazoa; Chordata; Mammalia; Rodentia; Sciuridae
Source: RNAcentral
CUUGGGCAUCCUUCUCUGAAAUCCACCAUCAUGUUUACCUCUCAACUGAAUCUUGUCAAAAAUCCCCCAAAUUAAUUUUAAGAUCUGAUGACAGUUGUUUGUAAGGUUAUAAGUUACUUGCAUGCACUGCUUUCCCUCCUACCCUUACCUAAGGGCUUUAAGAAAGAACAAGAGGGGAUAAUAGACCAAGGAAAUGUCAAGGCAAGUGUGUUUAACCCAGAACUAGAUGUCUGAGUGAUAAUUGCAAGAGUUUGACUAAGAGCACACAGAUUACCUCUCAGAUAAAUAAGCAAAGGCAACCUGCAGAGAGAGAGUUUGUUAGAAGGCCGGUCAGAACUUGGGUUAACUUUAAAGUUACUGGGAUUGUGUUGGCAAUGGGGCAGGGAAAGGGGUUUGCGUUGACCCUAGGCUUGGCUGCUGGUUUCACAGAUGGAGCCAAUAUCUAGGCGACUUCUCGUCUCCGGGCUGACUGAUCGCUUGUUCCCUAUCAGAAAACAAACCAGGAGUCGCCCGAGAUAUGGGGGGUUGGGCCUCUCGCCCUGCUCCAGGGCCGCCUGAAACCCGGGAGAGAGCCGCAGCUCUGACAAGAGAGAUUGCCAGCAGCCUGGCCUGUUCG